AGAGUUUGAUCAUGGCUCAGGAUGAACGCUAGCGGGAGGCUUAACACAUGCAAGUCGAGGGGUAACAGGUUGGAACUUCGGUUCUGAUGCUGACGACCGGCGAACGGGUGAGUAACGCGUAUGCAACCUGCCUUUAACAGGGGGAUAGCUUUCGGAAACGGAAAUUAAUACCCCAUAACGCUGCACUGUGGCAUCACAGAGCAGUUAAAACUACGGUGGUAAAAGAUGGGCAUGCGUAAUAUUAGCUAGUUGGUAAGGUAAUGGCUUACCAAGGCUGCGAUAUUUAGGGGACCUGAGAGGGUGAUCCCCCACACUGGUACUGAGACACGGACCAGACUCCUACGGGAGGCAGCAGUGAGGAAUAUUGGUCAAUGGACGGAAGUCUGAACCAGCCAUCCCGCGUGCAGGAAGACGGCCCUAUGGGUUGUAAACUGCUUUUCUGAAGGAAGAAUAAUCCCGACGUGUCGGGAGAUGCCGGUACUUCAGGAAUAAGCAUCGGCUAACUCCGUGCCAGCAGCCGCGGUAAUACGGAGGAUGCAAGCGUUAUCCGGAUUCAUUGGGUUUAAAGGGUGCGUAGGCGGAUAAAUAAGUCAGUGGUGAAAUCUUUCGGCUCAACCGGGAAACUGCCAUUGAUACUGUUUAUCUUGAGUUCGGCAGAGGUAGGCGGAAUGUGUAAUGUAGCGGUGAAAUGCUUAGAUAUUACACAGAACACCAAUUGCGUAGGCAGCUUACUAUACCGACACUGACGCUGAGGCACGAAAGCGUGGGUAGCGAACAGGAUUAGAUACCCUGGUAGUCCACGCCGUAAACUAUGAUUACUCGUUGUUGGCGAUACAUUGUCAGCGACCAAGCGAAAGCGAUAAGUAAUCCACCUGGGGAGUACGCUCGCAAGAGUGAAACUCAAAGGAAUUGACGGGGGCCCGCACAAGCGGUGGAACAUGUGGUUUAAUUCGAUGAUACGCGAGGAACCUUACCUGGGCUUAAAUGUAGAGUGCAUUUAUGGGAAACCAUAAUUCCCUUCGGGGCUCUUUACAAGGUGCUGCAUGGUUGUCGUCAGCUCGUGCCGUGAGGUGUCGGGUUAAGUCCCAUAACGAGCGCAACCCUUAUCACUAGUUGCCAUCGGGUCAAGCCGGGGACUCUAGUGAAACUGCCACCGUAAGGUGAGAGGAAGGUGGGGAUGACGUCAAAUCAGCACGGCCCUUAUGUCCAGGGCUACACACGUGUUACAAUGGUCGGUACAGAGGGCAGCUACCUGGUGACAGGAUGCCAAUCUCGAAAGCCGGUCCAAGUUCGGAUCGAAGUCUGCAACUCGACUUCGUGAAGCUGGAAUCGCUAGUAAUCGCGCAUCAGCCAUGGCGCGGUGAAUACGUUCCCGGGCCUUGUACACACCGCCCGUCAAGCCAUGGAAGCUGGGGGUGCCUGAAGUUCGUAACCGUAAGGAGCGACCUAGGGUAAAACUAGUGACUGGGGCUAAGUCGUAACAAGGUA
This 1488-nucleotide ribosomal RNA is filed under the name uncultured Bacteroidota bacterium. Its description in RNAcentral is "bacterial SSU rRNA". It matches the Rfam family "Bacterial small subunit ribosomal RNA". The record is from RNAcentral. Lineage: Bacteria; Pseudomonadati; Bacteroidota.